UUUGGCUACCGUGGAUAUGUGUU
This 23-nucleotide microRNA is filed under the name Pristionchus pacificus. Its description in RNAcentral is "ppc-miR-8252b-5p". The record is from miRBase by way of RNAcentral. Lineage: Eukaryota; Metazoa; Nematoda; Chromadorea; Rhabditida; Neodiplogasteridae.